AUUGAACGCUGGCGGCAUGCUUUACACAUGCAAGUCGAACGGCAGCGCGGGCUUCGGCCUGGCGGCGAGUGGCGAACGGGUGAGUAAUACAUCGGAACGUGCCCAGUCGUGGGGGAUAGCUCGGCGAAAGCCGGAUUAAUACCGCAUACGACCUGAGGGUGAAAGCGGGGGAUCUUCGGCCACCGCCCGUUUGGGUGGCCCGAUGGCAGAUUAGCUCGUUGGUGGGGUAAGGGCCUACCAAGGCGACGAUCUGUAGCUGGUCUGAGAGGACGACCAGCCACACUGGGACUGAGACACGGCCCAGACUCCUACGGGAGGCAGCAGUGGGGAAUUUUGGACAAUGGGCGAAAGCCUGAUCCAGCAAUGCCGCGUGUGUGAUGAAGGCCUUCGGGUUGUAAAGCACUUUUGGCGGGAACGAAAAGGACUGUGCCAAUACCACGGUUCGAUGACGGUACCCGCAGAAUAAGCACCGGCUAACUACGUG
Molecule: ribosomal RNA, 484 nt
Filed under: uncultured bacterium
Lineage: Bacteria
Description: partial 16S ribosomal RNA
Rfam family: Bacterial small subunit ribosomal RNA
Source: RNAcentral